Molecule: long non-coding RNA, 241 nt
Filed under: Volvox carteri
Lineage: Eukaryota; Viridiplantae; Chlorophyta; Chlorophyceae; Chlamydomonadales; Volvocaceae
Description: long non-coding RNA (VCAR_LNC000935)
Source: RNAcentral
GAGUGCCCGGGCAAGCACCUUGGUGAGGAAGAGGCCUAAUUGUACGGCGGGGUGCUGGCGCCAGGGUUGCCAGAGAGUGGCACCAUAUGCCGCCAAGGUUCGGCCGAGUUUAUGCAAAGGAAAGGGAAUUGCAUUUUUUAUGACUACGUGGAUUUUAAUUAAGGGGAGUAAGCAUGGACAAGGUGCCAUCUCAAGGGCGGUGGCAUAAGGGCCUCGCUUGCCUUACCCGAAAGUAGGGAAG